Molecule: transfer RNA, 62 nt
Filed under: Nigidius sp. NIG01
Lineage: Eukaryota; Metazoa; Arthropoda; Insecta; Coleoptera; Lucanidae
Description: tRNA-Cys
Source: RNAcentral
AGCUUUAUAUUCAUAAAUGAUUUAAGAUUGCAAAUUUUAAGGUGAGUGUAACUCUAAGGCUU